AUACGGAGGGUGCGAGCGUUAAUCGGAAUUACUGGGCGUAAAGGGCGCGUAGGCGGCUGAUCAAGUCAGGUGUGAAAGCCCACGGCUUAACCGUGUGAAGUGCAUCUGAAACUGGUCGGCUUGAGUAUCGGAGAGGAAAGUGGAAUUCCCGGUGUAGAGGUGAAAUUCGUAGAUAUCGGGAGGAAUACCGGUGGCGAAGGCGACUUUCUGGACGAAUACUGACGCUGAGGCGCGAAAGCGUGGGGAGC
RNAcentral lists this ribosomal RNA (248 nucleotides) under uncultured bacterium. RNAcentral describes it as "partial 16S ribosomal RNA". It matches the Rfam family "Bacterial small subunit ribosomal RNA", at positions 523 to 769 of the family's 1533-position model. The record is from RNAcentral.